GACGAACGCUGGCGGCGUGCUUAACACAUGCAAGUCGAACGGAAAGGCCCUGCUUUUGUGGGGUGCUCGAGUGGCGAACGGGUGAGUAACACGUGAGUAACCUGCCCUUGACUUUGGGAUAACUUCAGGAAACUGGGGCUAAUACCGGAUAGGAGCUCCUGCUGCAUGGUGGGGGUUGGAAAGUUUCGGCGGUUGGGGAUGGACUCGCGGCUUAUCAGCUUGUUGGUGGGGUAGUGGCUUACCAAGGCUUUGACGGGUAGCCGGCCUGAGAGGGUGACCGGCCACAUUGGGACUGAGAUACGGCCCAGACGCCUACGGGAGGCAGCAGUGGGGAAUAUUGCACAAUGGGCGGAAGCCUGAUGCAGCAACGCCGCGUGCGGGAUGACGGCCUUCGGGGUGUAAACCGCUUUCGCCUGUGACGAAGCGUGAGUGACGGUAAUGGGUAAAGAAGCACCGGCUAACUACGUG
This 468-nucleotide ribosomal RNA is filed under the name uncultured bacterium. RNAcentral's name for it is "partial 16S ribosomal RNA". It matches the Rfam family "Bacterial small subunit ribosomal RNA", at positions 28 to 507 of the family's 1533-position model. The record is from RNAcentral.